AGUGAACGCUGGCGGUAGGCCUAACACAUGCAAGUCGAACGGCAGCACAGUAAGAGCUUGCUCUUACGGGUGGCGAGUGGCGGACGGGUGAGGAAUACAUCGGAAUCUACUUUUUCGUGGGGGAUAACGUAGGGAAACUUACGCUAAUACCGCAUACGACCUACGGGUGAAAGCAGGGGAUCUUCGGACCUUGCGCGAUUGAAUGAGCCGAUGUCGGAUUAGCUAGUUGGCGGGGUAAAGGUCCACCAAGGCGACGAUCCGUAGCUGGUCUGAGAGGAUGAUCAGCCACACUGGAACUGAGACACGGUCCAGACUCCUACGGGAGGCAGCAGUGGGGAAUAUUGGACAAUGGGCGCAAGCCUGAUCCAGCCAUACCGCGUGGGUGAAGAAGGUCUUCGGGUUGUAAAGCCCUUUUGUUGGGAAAGAAAAGCAGCAGGUUAAUACCCCGCUGUUCUGACGGUACCCAAAGAAUAAGCACCGGCUAACUUCGUG
This 492-nucleotide ribosomal RNA is filed under the name uncultured bacterium. RNAcentral describes it as "partial 16S ribosomal RNA". It matches the Rfam family "Bacterial small subunit ribosomal RNA", at positions 29 to 507 of the family's 1533-position model. The record is from RNAcentral.